Molecule: ribosomal RNA, 325 nt
Filed under: uncultured bacterium
Lineage: Bacteria
Description: bacterial SSU rRNA
Rfam family: Bacterial small subunit ribosomal RNA
Source: RNAcentral
GACGAACGCUGGCGGCGUGCUUAACACAUGCAAGUCGAACGGGGUAUCUUUAGCAAUAAAGGUAUCUAGUGGCGGACGGGUGAGUAACGCGUGAGGAACCUGCCUUCAAGAGGGGGAUAACAUCGAGAAAUCGAUGCUAAUACCGCAUAAGACCACGCUCCCGCAUGGGAGAGGGGUCAAAGCUAUUGCGCUUGAAGAUGGACUCGCGUCCCAUUAGCUAGUAGGCGGGGUAAUGGCCCACCUAGGCAACGAUGGGGUAGCCGAGCUGAGAGGCUGAACGGCCACACUGGGACUGAGACACGGCCCAGACUCCUACGGGUGGCUG